Bacillus rossius redtenbacheri is the source of this 379-nucleotide long non-coding RNA. RefSeq lists it as uncharacterized. The record is from RefSeq and is a predicted model, not a curated record. Lineage: Eukaryota; Metazoa; Arthropoda; Insecta; Phasmatodea; Bacillidae. The transcript has 2 exons.
CGACUCCACAAAACACAGUCGUUACAUUUCAACCUUUCCGUUCAGUUCAGUUCGUUCAGAAAAACUACGCUGAAGAUGUUGAGCAGUCGUACGUUGUUGUUGGCAGCGCUGUUGGUGUCUGCUGUCUGCUGCUUGGUUAGCGCCCAGAGUACAAAUAACAGCACAAACUCAACAAAUGCGGGCUUGUUGACGGGCGUCAACAACCUGCUCCAAAACAUAUUAUCAGGCGUGUCAGCACUACUUGGAAGUUUAGGAAUAUUAGGCCGCUAACACAUCUAUUGACAUCAGAAGCUGCAACGACCCAACAUUGAUAUGUAUUAAAACAAUGUAAAUUUAUGUCAAAUAAAAUCUUCAAAGAACGAGUAAUUGCUAAGCUCAC